GUCUUCAUCAUAAUAUUAAUUUAUAGAAUUAAAAUGAUACGAAAAGUGCCUAUAAAUGUAACAGAUCAACCAUAUAUCACCUGCUACCCCUACCGUACCCAGUAGUCCGAUCCGGCGGUUACAUAACGGGAUUACCGGCCGGCCGGGAGGUAGCUGACUAGCUGUGGAGAAGUUGAUUAUUAUUAUUGCGGUAUAGUGUCUGUCUACUACUCAUAUAUAUAUCUUUUUCGUCAAAGUUUCUAGAUAGAUAGAUAUAUUAUUAUAUAUACAUAUAAAAUUAACAUAUAUAGACAGAAAGAUAGAUCAAACUUGCUUCAUGCGCGCGUGCAUAUGUUAGCCGCUAGCUACUUCAACUCGUCCAUCAGCAUGCACUGCUACUCGCACGUGCACCAACGAUCGUCGACGACGUACGAGAUCCGGCCGCCAGUGGACUCCUACACACACGAGAGAGAGAUGAGAGCACUAGACUCAGCUGGAGUAAGAUAUGUUACAAAACAAUGUAAUAUAUGAUCAAGACCCAUCCAACCGUUGAUUCUACGGUUAUUUGAUCCAAGGGUCUGAUGCCCUUUGUACACAUGUAUAUAUAUGAAGAUCCCUGCAAUAAACAGACAACACCAGUCAUUUGUCUCAUUUGCUCUUGUCUCUCCACUGAUUACCACUGAGCACUGCAAGAGAUUGCAACACGUUAUCAGCACUGUCUCAAGGGAGAAAUCAGAGAAGGGGAAGAGGAAGAACACGCUGUUCUUGACAAGAACAGCAAGAUCGAUCUGCACAUCAACAGCAAGGUAUGGAGCAUACCGUUUCCAUACGCAUACGCCGUAUGCGCGAAGUUCUUCAUAUUGUUGAUGAUGCAAUGUUGGAAGCGUUCACCGUUGGGCAAGCCACUGCACUCCCACCGGUGCACGAGAUCCCUGAACGCCGUGUGCAAGUGCAAAAUGUGCACUUCUGCGUUCUCCAUGGAUGGACAGCGGUGGUUCCGCUGCCGGUGGUGGAGUGUGGACUCCCCACUGCAUCCCCGUCGCCACCGGCGCCGGUGUUUGACGCGGGAUCGUCUGCAUCGGCCCCUAUGGAUGUCGAUUUGGCAGCACCACCACCGCCUCCGCCCACUGCAGCAGCAGUUGCUCGUCAUUCGCCAUCUCCACCAGUGCCUAUGGUCGUCGGGACCAUUGCUGCCCGUCGUGGACAGCCCCCUCGUGCCGUCGAUGCUCCGCGUGGACGCAUCAUCUUCACAGGCCAUCGCCCAAAUGGGGUGGCCCCGUCUUCCUCCUCCAAUGGGAGGGCCUAAUGGCCCUCGAUCCGGCCGCUGUGUCGGCCGUUUGGGGGAGGGGGGUGGAGGAAUGGCGCUGCAAGCCCAGUGCUCUGGCGUGGCACUGCUCUCCGGCAUGGAGCAAAGGACAUGCAGUGAACCUGCAAUGUCGGCCCCGACCCGGCCAUGGCUCGUCUGCCAGGCUCGGCCGCGGCCCCCUCCCUGGCGGCGCUCGACGCAAUGCGACGGCGAGGAGCAGUGGCUCCGGUCAGCGGCUCGGCGCAGCCUCCUGGAGUCGCGGGCGCAGGACAAGCCCGGCGCGCGCGCGACUCGCGCUCGGCGCGGGCGCGGUAUGGCCACCUCCCGAGGGCGCUCGGCAACGGCCGGCGCUUGGUGCGGCCGCAUGCCCUGGCGCAGGCGGCUCCGCCCCGGCGAGGGCGCUCGGCGCGGCCUGGCGCGCACCAGGCGCGCGGCCAGCUACGGACGCGGCUCCCCGGCGCAGGCGUCCUUGCGCGGGCUCCUGGCGAAAAGAGGCGGGCGUGGCAUGGCCCUGGCGCGCGGCUCCCCUGCGCAAGGAGCUGCUCGGCGCGGGCUCGUGGCAGCGCGCGGCGCGGCCCACCGGCGGUGCUCGGCGCGGUCUCCGCCUCGCGCUUGGCGCGGGCACCUUGGCGCUCGGACGGGCCCCACGCAAGGCGCGCGCGCAUAGGCGUGCACAGUCGGCCCUGGCGGCGGCUGGGAGCCUUGGCGCUCGUCCCUGGCCGGCGGCUGGAAAACGCCCUGGUGGCGGCGACGGCUACAGGGGCGGUUAGGGUUGGAAACCCUAGCCGCCCCAAUAUAAAAUAGGCUUUUGGGCCUCUGUUAGGCCGCCUGGGCAGGCCAGCUGGGCUGGGCCGGCGUGCAGGCCUCUGGCCGCUGCCUGGCUCGCCUGGCAGGCCGCCUGGGCUACUUUCAGAGGCCUAAUAUAGCCUGUUUUACCAUUUUAAAUUCUGAAUUUCUGUAUAAGACUCUGUUUUAUAUGCAUUUUCAGUUCACAAUUAUCUUAGGCGUCUAAAUUCGCAAUUUAGACUGCAUAUAUUGUAAAGACAUAUCUGUUUUAUUGUAAAUAUAGCAGAUUUUAGUUCGUGAAUUAUUGUUUGUCUUACAUUAAUAAUUCACAUAUCUCUACUUGCUAUGAUUUACGCAUUCAUUUAUGUUUGCAUAUAAAUAUAGCAUUUAUUAAGUUCAGACUUAAUAAAACUCAUGCAAAAUGAAAUUACAUUAUUUUGGAUUAAGAGCAUAGGGAGAUAGAGUCCUAAGCAUUGGCUGCACUAAAUUCUUUAUAGAAUUUAGUAGCCCAGAGACCGUGCUUGUGGCAGCAUUUGGAAUGCCUAUCUCUAUGAGGUCUACAUCCCUCGGGAUGAUUACCUAUACGUGCUAUCCAAAAUAACAGGAUAUGGAGUUAUUGAAUUUUACUUUGAUAAUUAGUAGAGCAUGGGUAGUGGAGACCUAAGCAUUGGCUGCGGUUUGUUCAUUUAUGAACUUAUCUGCCUAGAGACCGUGCUUUUAGGCAGCAAGUUUCUUGCCCACUACUAGAUCUACCUCAUUAAUUUGAGGAUUAUCUAUACUAUGCUUACUAAAAUUCAAAGUAUUUAUUCAAUUGGAAGGUUUGGAACCUUCAGGCAACUCAUAUCACAUGUAAGAGUUAGUGAAUUUUACUUUGAUAAUUAGUAGAGCAUGGGUAGUGGAGACCUAAGCAUUGGCUGCGGUUUGUUCAUCCGUGAACUUAUCAGCCCAGAGACCGUGCUUUUAGGCAGCAAGUUUCUUGCCCACUACUAGAUCUACCUCAUUAAUUUGAGGAUUAUCUAUACUAUGCUUACUAAAAUUCAAAGUAUUUAUUCCAUGGGAAGGUUUGGAACCUUCAAGAAACUCGUUACAUAUGUAAUUUUAAAGAACUUUUGCAUAAUGAACUUACAACAUCACCAUUGUGACUAUUAAUUUAUGCGUAAAUUAAUGGAUGUCCAUGGUAAUGACUGUAGGAACAUGUCAACCAAAGAGUUCGAGGAACUCGCCCUUGAUGGGCAUAACUACCCAACUUGGGCUUCAGAUAUUGAAAUAACUUUUGCUUCUCGUGGGAUAAUUGAUGCCAUUGCAGCACCCAUCACUGGUACUGAUCCAGUGAAUGAGGUUAAAAAGAACACAGCACUUUUCCUUUUGAGGCUUUACAUCCAUAAGGACCUUAAACAAGAGUACCUUAUGGAGAGAUGCCCUCAUAACUUGUGGAAAUCUCUCAAAGAGCGCUAUGAACAGCAAAAGGAGCUCAUAUGGCCGUCAGCCAACCAUGAGUGGAACCACCUUCGUCUGCAAGAUUUUAAAUCUGUUGCAGAAUAUAACCAUGCUCUUCAUAGCAUUUGUUCUAAAUUGAAAUUUUGUGAGAAAGAGCCCACUGAAGCAGACAAGAUAGAGAAGACUCUAUCUACCAUGCUUCCAGAGGACAGGAUAUUGCAUCAGCAGUAUCGCUCUAGUAAUUUCCAGAGAUAUUCUCAACUCAUGCACACAUUGACCCAAGCAGAAAAGCAUCAUGAGCUUCUUCUAAAGAAUGCUCAGCAGCGCCCUCCUGGGUCUGCCCCUCUGCCUGAGGUACAUUUCAAUGUGCAUAAGACUGAGAAUAAGAAAGGAUUCAAGAAAAACUUCAAGAAUCCUCCUGGACCUCACAAAUUCAAGAAGAACAAAUUCCACAAGAAAGGUAAAGGAAAAGGAAAAGGAAAUGGCAAGCCUCUACCAUCUAAGGGCAACAGAGCUUGCCUUAAAUGUGGUACUGAGGGCCAUUUUGCUAGGGACUGCACUUGCCCUAAGCACCUUGUUCUGUUGUAUCAACAAUCCCUAAAGAAGCCAAAGUCUGAUAAGCCUGUUUUUGAGGCUCAUUUCAAUUCUACUGAAGCACCAAUUGAGGUUGGAAGUUCUUCACUGGCUUCUGGUGACCUGAAGAACACUCUUGCUAAAGAGCACCUCAAUGGGGUUGACAACAAGCCUCCACUUCUGCAAGAAGAUGAAUCUGAUGAUAUGAUCAUUGAGUAUAUGUCAAAGGAUCCAUUUGGAGAUUUGGCAUAAAUCUCUCAUGCUUGGAGAUUUGAUCAUGAUCACUGUGGCUUGUGUGGAUGUUCUAUACUGUCUUUAUAAUGUUGUUGUAAUAAGUAGAGGUAUACAAUCUCAUGUGUUGAGAUGUAACACACUCUACAAGACCAGUGUUGGGUCCUGUGUGUAAUGCGAACUCAUUGGAUGAGUCGUCAUACCAUUAUUGUAAUAUUGUUUCGACAUUGUGAUAUUUAAAUAUCAUGUUAUGUAUAGUACUAAGUUGCAUCACACAAAUUCUUAUUCAGAAUUUUUAUUUAUGUAUAGAUGCAUAAUGAUGACAACUCGACGGAAGAGGAAUUAUGCCUUGUGGACAGUUGUACCACAAACUCUAUACUUAGGGAGAUCAAAUACUUUCAGACUCUUAAGAAAAGAGAUGGGAAAGUUUUGACCAUCGCCGGACGCGAUGCUGUGAUAGUUGGCUCUGGUCGAGCAACUAUUACACUCCCCAUGGGUACUGAAAUUGUGAUCGAGGAUGCAUUAUUGUAUCCUGAUUCUACACGUACCCUCCUAAGUUUUAGAGAUAUCCGGCAAAAUGGAUUUCAUAUUGAAACCCAUGAUGAAAAUCAAGAAGAGUUUCUCUUCUUGACCAAGCCGAAUAAAUAUGGCAAGCGCAUAUGCGAGAAAAUUCCAUCACUCACGUCAGGGUUGUACUAUACACAUAUUAAAAGCAAUGCACAUGUUGCAUACAAGGUAAUUUUCCAAGAUGUUGAUGCAUUCCAAAUUUGGCAUGAUCGACUUGGUCAUCCUGGCGUAGGGAUGAUGAGGAAAAUUACAGGCAAUUCAAUUGGCCAUAAUCUGCCCACAACAAGUUUUCCCAAACCUCAGGAUUUUGUUUGCACCGCAUGUGCAACUGGGAAACUUAUUUUGAGACCAUCAUAUCUCAAAAUUAAAGCUGAACCGCUUAAAUUCCUUGAAAGGAUUCAAGGAGAUAUUUGUGGGCCCAUUAUGCCAACUUCUGGGCCGUUCAGGUAUUUCAUGGUACUGAUUGACGCAUCUACUAGAUGGUCACAUGUGUGUUUACUAUCAACACGCAACCAUGCAUUUGCCAAGAUAAUGUCUCAAAUUAUCAAGUUAAAGGCAAAUUUUCCUGAACAUCGGAUUAGUUCAAUCCGAAUGGACAAUGCUGCUGAAUUCAAAUCUCAGGCAUUCAAUGAUUAUUGUAUGGCGCUGGGGAUUCAAGUACAGCACUCGGUACCGUAUGUCCACACCCAGAAUGGUUUGGCUGAGUCACUAAUCAAGAGGAUUAAACUCAUCGCAAGGCCAUUAUUGAUGAAUUGCAAAUUGCCUUCGUCGUGUUGGGGUCAUGCAGUCCUGCACGCUGCUGACCUUAUACAAUUACGACCAACUGCAUACCAUUCAACAUCCCCAAUACAAAUGGUACGUGGAAAUCCUCCAAGUAUUUCCCAUUUGCGCAAAUUUGGAUGUUGUGUAUACAUUCCAAUCUCACCACCUCAGAGAACAGCUAUGGGCCCACACAGGAAAGUGGGGAUCUAUGUGGGAUUUCAAUCUCCGUCGAUCAUUAAGUAUUUAGAACCCUUAACAGGGGAUCUAUUUACAGCCCGUUUUGCUGACUCUAUCUUUGAUGAGGAACAUUUCCCGGCAUUAGGGGGAGAAUUGAAGUACCAAAAAGAAUGCCAGGAAAUAAAUUGGAAUACUCAAUGUGUUCCAGGUUCUGAUCCACGUACUUCAGAAACUGAACUGCAAGUUCAGAAAAUUAUACAUUUGCAAAGACUUGCAAAUGAACUGCCAGAUGCAUUCACUAAUUACAAAGGUGUCACUAAAUCAUUCAUUCCUGCUAGGAAUGCACCAGAAAGAGUGGAAGUACCGAGUAAGGCCACUCAACUCCUAGAGAGGAGAAGUAUGGUGAAUAAGCGCUGUUCUGUUGCUAAGAAGCAAAGAGCAAUAGUGAAUGCAAAAGGACACCAAUAUGAUACAAUGUAUCAUGUGGAUUGUGAUGAUCCACAACCCAGCUCGGAUGUGCACAUAACCGAGGCUGGGACAUCGGAAAAUCCUGGACACAUCAAUUUGGGAAAUUCUGAUGAGUCUCUAAGGAAUGAUGAAAUUGCCAUCAACUAUGUUGAGACUGGUGAAACAUAUGAUAGAAAAGCUACCAAUGUCGACAUAUAUUUCUCCGAGCAGAUUGCUGAGGACCUUCAAAAUGAUCUAGAUCCAAAGACCAUGGCAGAGUGCAGUAAGCGCUCGGAUUGGAUCAAAUGGAAGGCAGCAAUCGAAGCGGAGUUAGCCUCGCUUUACAAAAGAGAAGUUUUCUCUGCUGUAAUACCUACACCACGUGAUAUCUUCCCUGUGGGAUAUAAGUGGGUUUUCAUUCGGAAACGAAAUGAAAAUGGUGAGGUAGUGAGAUACAAAGCAAGGCUAGUAGCACAAGGGUUUACGCAAUGAAUCCCACUUUGGAUCUUUUGAUGAAGACGCACGGGCAAUCAUCAUUUUUCGUGUAUCCCUUACGUAAAAGGAAUUCACUCAAUCGGUUGUACCACAUUCUGCCCGAUUGUUUUAAGCCAUAUAAUGACUUCUGCAACUUUACACAAUACAUGUUGCGCUUCGCCUUUGGAUUCGGUACAUCUAUUCCAUCAGGAACUUUCAUGUAUAUAUCAGAAUCCAGUGACCCAUAGAGAUAUGCGGUCACUACGUCCAUCAACUGCAAAGAUAGACGAUUUUGCACUGCCAAAGAUAUUAAAUAUCGGAAUGUUAUUGCACUCAUGACUGGUGAAUAAGUUUCGUUGAAAUCAACGCCGGGUCUUUGCGUAAACCCUUGUGCUACUAGCGUGGAAAUCGUCUAAACAGACUUUGGUGACCACGUCCACCAACCAUUCUGAAAUAAUUGCAUUAUUUGAAGCAUCACGUGAAUGUGUAUGGCUUCGUAGAAUGGUGAAUCAUAUACUCACAACUUGUGGUAUUGGUUCUCUUGACUCACCAACAAUUAUCUAUGAAGAUAAUUCAGCUUGUGUUGUUCAGAUGGAUACAGGUUAUAUCAAGAGCAAUAUCAAUAAGCAUAUUUCUCCUAAACUGUUUUAUCCCCAUGAACUUCAGGAAAAAGGGGAUAUAAACAUCUUGCAAACAAAGUCUUGUGAUAAUCUUGCAGAUCUAUUCACAAAGUCUCUACCAUACUCUACAUUUCAGAAAUGUGUUGAGGGGAUUGGUAUGAGAAGACUUAAGUGCUUGCAAGGUUCAGGGGGAGUAAUUCCCCAUGAUAUAUAACCCGUAUUGAACCAUCAUAUUACACUCUUUUCUUUGUAUGAGUUUUGCCUUACUAAGGUUUUCUCAUUCAAAGUUUUUAACGAGGUAAUAUCAACAAAGCUAUAUGCUUCAUCAUUGAUUUUUCCCACAGGGGUUUUUAUACAUGAUGAUUACAAGCAUAUUUUUCUUUUGGAGACAAUGUGAGAUUAUUCUCAUUAUCCAAAAGAUAUUGUGUACUCCUUAUUUUUCCCACAGGGUUUUUUUUGAGGAGAUAAGAUAAAUUGCAGAUGAUCAAACGGUUUUGGGUUGAUCAAGGGGGAGUGUUACAAAACAAUGUAAUAUAUGAUCAAGACCCAUCCAACCGUUGAUUCUACGGUUAUUUGAUCCAAGGGUCUGAUGCCCUUUGUACACAUGUAUAUAUAUGAAGAUCCCUGCAAUAAACAGACAACACCAGUCAUUUGUCUCAUUUGCUCUUGUCUCUCCACUGAUUACCACUGAGCACUGCAAGAGAUUGCAAC
RNAcentral lists this long non-coding RNA (8070 nucleotides) under Zea mays. Its description in RNAcentral is "long non-coding RNA (ZMAY_LNC003312)". The record is from RNAcentral. Lineage: Eukaryota; Viridiplantae; Streptophyta; Magnoliopsida; Poales; Poaceae.